This 484-nucleotide ribosomal RNA is filed under the name uncultured bacterium. RNAcentral describes it as "partial 16S ribosomal RNA". It matches the Rfam family "Bacterial small subunit ribosomal RNA", at positions 29 to 507 of the family's 1533-position model. The record is from RNAcentral.
AUUGAACGCUGGCGGAAUGCUUUACACAUGCAAGUCGAGCGGCAGCGCGGCCUUCGGGCUGGCGGCGAGCGGCGAACGGGUGAGUAAUGCAUCGGAACAUGCCCAGUCGUGGGGGAUAACACUUCGAAAGAAGUGCUAAUACCGCAUACGUCCUGAGGGGGAAAGCGGGGGAUCGCAAGACCUCGCGCGAUUGGAGUGGCCGAUGUCAGAUUAGCUAGUUGGUGGGGUAAAGGCCUACCAAGGCGACGAUCUGUAGCUGGUCUGAGAGGAUGAUCAGCCACACUGGGACUGAGACACGGCCCAGACUCCUGCGGGAGGCAGCAGUGGGGAAUUUUGGACAAUGGGGGCAACCCUGAUCCAGCCAUUCCGCGUGAGUGAAGAAGGCCUUCGGGUUGUAAAGCUCUUUCGGCAGGAACGAAACGGUGGGCUCUAACAUAGUCCGCUAAUGACGGUACCUGAAGAAGAAGCACCGGCUAACUACGUG